CGGGCCAUAGCGCAGCUUGGUAGCGCACUUGACUGGGGGUCAAGGGGUCGCUGGUUCAAAUCCCGCUGGCCCGA
Molecule: transfer RNA, 74 nt
Filed under: Scardovia wiggsiae
Lineage: Bacteria; Bacillati; Actinomycetota; Actinomycetes; Bifidobacteriales; Bifidobacteriaceae
Description: tRNA-Pro
Rfam family: tRNA
About the family: Transfer RNA (tRNA) molecules are approximately 80 nucleotides in length. Their secondary structure includes four short double-helical elements and three loops (D, anti-codon, and T loops).
Source: RNAcentral